CGGGGCUUAAAGUCUUGUAAUUGGAAUGAUGGGAAUUUAAACCUCUUCCAGAGUAUCAAUUGGAGGGCAAGUCUGGUGCCAGCAGCCGCGGUAAUUCCAGCUCCAAUAGCGUAUAUUAAAAUUGUUGCAGUUGAAAAGCUCGUAGUUGAAUUUCUGCUGCAUUGCUUGUGUCCCUCUGGGGUCUGUGCAUGUGGCUUUUUUCGGACGGAGUUUCUUUGUCUGAAUGUUUACUUUGAGAAAAUUAGAGUGCUCAAAGCAGGCUUUCGCCUUGAAUAGUUUAGCAUGGAAUAAUAAAGUAGGACUUUGGUUCUAUUUUGUUGGUUUUAGGUACCAAAGUAAUGGUUAAUAGGAACAGUUGGGGGCAUUCGUAUUUAACUGUCAGAGGUGAAAUUCUUAGAUUUGUUAAAGACGAACUACUGCGAAAGCAUUUGCCAAGGAUGUUUUCAUUAAUCAAGAAC
Molecule: ribosomal RNA, 458 nt
Filed under: Theileria annulata
Lineage: Eukaryota; Apicomplexa; Aconoidasida; Piroplasmida; Theileriidae
Description: SSU rRNA
Rfam family: Eukaryotic small subunit ribosomal RNA
Source: RNAcentral